UAUUCUGGUGUCCUAGGCGUAGAGGAACCACACCAACCCAUCCCGAACUUGGUGGUUAAACUCUACUGCGGUUACAAUACUGUAGGGGGGGUCCUGCGGAAAAAUAGCUCGACGCCAGAAU
Molecule: ribosomal RNA, 121 nt
Filed under: Cyrtosia septentrionalis
Lineage: Eukaryota; Viridiplantae; Streptophyta; Magnoliopsida; Asparagales; Orchidaceae
Source: RNAcentral